CGUACACUCCUGCGGGAGGCAGCAGUGGGGAAUAUUGCACAAUGGGCGCAAGCCUGAUGCAGCCAUGCCGCGUGUAUGAAGAAGGCCUUCGGGUUGUAAAGUACUUUCAGCGGGGAGGAAGGCGAUAAGGUUAAUAACCUUGUCGAUUGACGUUACCCGCAGAAGAAGCACCGGCUAACUCCGUGCCAGCAGCCGCGGUAAUACGGAGGGUGCAAGCGUUAAUCGGAAUUACUGGGCGUAAAGCGCACGCAGGCGGUCUGUCAAGUCGGAUGUGAAAUCCCCGGGCUCAACCUGGGAACUGCAUUCGAAACUGGCAGGCUAGAGUCUUGUAGAGGGGGGUAGAAUUCCAGGUGUAGCGGUGAAAUGCGUAGAGAUCUGGAGGAAUACCGGUGGCGAAGGCGGCCCCCUGGACAAAGACUGACGCUCAGGUGCGAAAGCGUGGGGAGCAAACAGGAUUAGAAACCCGUGUAGUCCCAUG
This 478-nucleotide ribosomal RNA is filed under the name uncultured organism. Its description in RNAcentral is "partial 16S ribosomal RNA". It matches the Rfam family "Bacterial small subunit ribosomal RNA", at positions 330 to 799 of the family's 1533-position model. The record is from RNAcentral.